UGGAUUUUCAUCUAUUGCUGAUGAAUCUGGCUCAUCUCCACCACGAUAAAUGGGAUUCACUGUACAGUAAAUUGUGAGUGCUUGUGUGUCUCAGCUUGACCGUGGAGGUCCAGCGAGCCAAAGGACCGAACCCAGCCGAGGACCGAGACCCCAUCUUUGAGCGCGGCUCCACCACCACUUACUCCAGUUUUAGGGCGUCCACCUACUGCAAGCCCUGGACCAGGGAAGAGACAGACAUGUUCUUCCUGGCGAUCAGCAUGGUGGGAACAGACUUCUCCAUGAUAGGCCAGCUUUUUCACAACAGAACUCGAGCUGAGAUACGG
This is a long non-coding RNA of Hippocampus comes (tiger tail seahorse), 323 nucleotides long. RefSeq lists it as uncharacterized. Lineage: Eukaryota; Metazoa; Chordata; Actinopteri; Syngnathiformes; Syngnathidae. The transcript has 2 exons. The record is from RefSeq and is a predicted model, not a curated record.